GGGGAGCUUGCUCCCUGGGUGACGAGCGGCGGACGGGUGAGUAAUGUCUGGGAAACUGCCUGAUGGAGGGGGAUAACUACUGGAAACGGUAGCUAAUACCGCAUAACGUCGCAAGACCAAAGAGGGGGACCUUCGGGCCUCUUGCCAUCAGAUGUGCCCAGAUGGGAUUAGCUAGUAGGUGGGGUAAUGGCUCACCUAGGCGACGAUCCCUAGCUGGUCUGAGAGGAUGACCAGCCACACUGGAACUGAGACACGGUCCAGACUCCUACGGGAGGCAGCAGUGGGGAAUAUUGCACAAUGGGCGCAAGCCUGAUGCAGCCAUGCCGCGUGUGUGAAGAAGGCCUUCGGGUUGUAAAGCACUUUCAGCGAGGAGGAAGGUGGUGAGCUUAAUACGUUCAUCAAUUGACGUUACUCGCAGAAGAAGCACCGGCUAACUCCGUGCCAGCAGCCGCGGUAAUACGGAGGGUGCAAGCGUUAAUCGGAAUUACUGGGCGUAAAGCGCACGCAGGCGGUUUGUUAAGUCAGAUGUGAAAUCCCCGGGCUCAACCUGGGAACUGCAUUUGAAACUGGCAAGCUAGAGUCUCGUAGAGGGGGGUAGAAUUCCAGGUGUAGCGGUGAAAUGCGUAGAGAUCUGGAGGAAUACCGGUGGCGAAGGGGCCCCUGGACGAAGACUGACGCUCAGGGCGAAGCGUGGGGAGCAACAGGAUUAGAUACCUGGUAGUCCCGCUGUAACGAUGUCGAUUUGGAGGUUGUGCC
RNAcentral lists this ribosomal RNA (756 nucleotides) under Serratia marcescens. RNAcentral's name for it is "bacterial SSU rRNA". It matches the Rfam family "Bacterial small subunit ribosomal RNA", at positions 73 to 830 of the family's 1533-position model. Lineage: Bacteria; Pseudomonadati; Pseudomonadota; Gammaproteobacteria; Enterobacterales; Yersiniaceae. The record is from RNAcentral.